UACAUGGGGUGCAAACGUUGCUCGGAAUCAUUGGGCGUAAAGCGCACGUAGGCGGUUCGUUAUGUCGGAUGUGAAAGCCCUCGGCUUAACCGGGGAAGUGCAUCCGAAACUGGCGAGCUUGAGUACUAAAGAGGGUCGCGGAAUUCCCGGUGUAGAGGUGAAAUUCGUAGAUAUUCGGAAGAACACCAGUGGCGAAGGCGACUCGCUGGACAGGUAUUGACGCUGAGGUGCGAAAGCGUGGGGAGCAAACAGG
RNAcentral lists this ribosomal RNA (253 nucleotides) under uncultured bacterium. Its description in RNAcentral is "partial 16S ribosomal RNA". It matches the Rfam family "Bacterial small subunit ribosomal RNA", at positions 524 to 776 of the family's 1533-position model. The record is from RNAcentral.